RNAcentral lists this ribosomal RNA (1181 nucleotides) under uncultured bacterium. Its description in RNAcentral is "bacterial SSU rRNA". It matches the Rfam family "Bacterial small subunit ribosomal RNA", at positions 318 to 1533 of the family's 1533-position model. The record is from RNAcentral.
GCUUAGCGGCGCGAUUCGCCCUUUACGGGGGGCAGCAGUGAGGAAUAUUGGUCAAUGGGCGAGAGCCUGAACCAGCCAAGUAGCGUGCAGGAUGACGGCCCUAUGGGUUGUAAACUGCUUUUAUACAGGAAUAAAGUUAGCCACGUGUGGUUAUUUGUAGGUACUGUAUGAAUAAGGACCGGCUAAUUCCGUGCCAGCAGCCGCGGUAAUACGGAAGGUCCAGGCGUUAUCCGGAUUUAUUGGGUUUAAAGGGAGCGUAGGCCGUCUGUUAAGCGUGUUGUGAAAUGUAGAUGCUCAACAUCUGAAUUGCAGCGCGAACUGGCAGACUUGAGUGUGCGCAACGUAGGCGGAAUUCGUGGUGUAGCGGUGAAAUGCUUAGAUAUCACGAAGAACUCCAAUUGCGAAGGCAGCUUACGGGAGCACAACUGACGCUGAAGCUCGAAAGUGCGGGUAUCGAACAGGAUUAGAUACCCUGGUAGUCCGCACGGUAAACGAUGGAUGCCCGCUGUUGACCCACCUGGGCCAGCGGCCAAGCGAAAGCAUUAAGCAUCCCACCUGGGGAGUACGCCGGCAACGGUGAAACUCAAAGGAAUUGACGGGGGCCCGCACAAGCGGAGGAACAUGUGGUUUAAUUCGAUGAUACGCGAGGAACCUUACCCGGGCUUGAAUUGCAGAGGAAUUUACCAGAGAUGGUAGAGCCCUUCGGGGUCUCUGUGAAGGUGCUGCAUGGUUGUCGUCAGCUCGUGCCGUGAGGUGUCGGCUUAAGUGCCAUAACGAGCGCAACCCCUUUCCUUAGUUGCCAUCAGGUCAUGCUGGGCACUCUGGGGAUACUGCCACCGUAAGGUGUGAGGAAGGUGGGGAUGACGUCAAAUCAGCACGGCCCUUACGUCCGGGGCUACACACGUGUUACAAUGGCCGGUACAGAGAGACGGUUGCUUGCAAAAGUAAUCAAAUCCUUAAAACCGGUCCCAGUUCGGACUGGGGUCUGCAACUCGACCCCACGAAGCUGGAUUCGCUAGUAAUCGCGCAUCAGCCAUGGCGCGGUGAAUACGUUCCCGGGCCUUGUACACACGACCGUCAAGCAUGAAAGCUGGGGGUGCUGAGUCCGUGACGCAGACGGCCUAAGCAACCUGGUAUGGGCUAGUCGUACAGUUACUAUGCCGAUCGAUUUAAAGCCGUUG